GUUGGUAACAAUUGGUAUACAAGUAUAUAUUUUCCGUGUAAUAAUUAUUAAAACACAUUGCCAGUAUAUAAUACAUGAUAUAGGUAAGAGGUGAAUUCUUUCAUCGCUAAGCAGAUAACUUUUCAUCGGUAUUCACAUUGUAUUCAUGAUACCUACCUAGUAAAUGUGCUGGAAUUGGUCCAUCGACUCGAACCCUGCGUUUACCAUAGUGAGAAACUAAUUUUCGCCGUACGUAAGAGUGAAGAUGUUUAUAAAUCGGCUCUAUGGCUGUCCACAAAUUGUCAAGUUUUGCUUUAAAAUUUGCAUCUUCAUACAUUGCAAUUUGUUGCUGACCUGCGUCUUCAAACCCUACAGUUAAAAAUAAAAAAGAGUGAUAUUUCAUCGCACUUGCAGACGUUAUUUCAAUGAAUGGCUUGAUACACCUCUCGGUGUUAUAUUCCGGAAUGCGAAGGGACAAAUGGUCAAAGGGAGGAAAAUAUAAUUAUUACCAUAGCAACCCUGCAGUUCUCGCACAGUCAUGGCGGCGGAACCAGACGACAAAACCAAUAAUAUUACUUUAAAACAAACACCAAAUUUGCUUUUGGAUUGUUAGUAUCAGAUUAUUAGUUUUGAUAACUAACUAGAUUCCAUUUUCAAACUCGGUAUUAUGAACAAUUUGGAAGGUUUACGUAAAUAAUUAAAUAAAGGCAAUUCGUAAUUUGAAAUAUAGAGUGAUAGUAACAAAUUAACAAAUAAUUUGAA
Molecule: long non-coding RNA, 741 nt
Organism: Rhopalosiphum maidis (corn leaf aphid)
Lineage: Eukaryota; Metazoa; Arthropoda; Insecta; Hemiptera; Aphididae
Exons: 3
Source: RefSeq, a predicted model, not a curated record